Spea bombifrons (plains spadefoot toad) is the source of this 449-nucleotide long non-coding RNA. RefSeq lists it as uncharacterized. The transcript is spliced from 2 exons. NCBI's taxonomy places the organism in Eukaryota, Metazoa, Chordata, Amphibia, Anura, Pelobatidae. The record is from RefSeq and is a predicted model, not a curated record.
GAAAUCUGGAGCUUAAAAUUGCUUUGAGUAAAGUAGUAACACCAUCAGGACUGACAAGAAUUAACAUAGUGGAUGCCUUUGAGAAAGCCGUGCUUAAGAUUUUUUCGUUAUCAUUGUAUGGGAAAUAUUGUUUUCAGGCAUUCCUGCCUCGGACACCCGGGACAAUUUUUGACAGCCUUCUCUGUGCCUGACAGUUAUUUUACUCUCCGUGCAUUGAGAUGCCUAGUCCGAGUUACAACGGAAGAAGACUGGAACGGAGGGGGAAGAACCAUCAAGAACGAGAAAAAACAGAGAACGGACACUCGGCAGCAAUCACGGCGAGCUGCUCCCUGCUUAUUCACAACAGCUGAUCCCAUCCAAUAAAAAAAAAACGAGAAUGUUCAUCAAAAAAGAAGGAAAAAAUAAGCAAGAAUAAAAAAAAAAAGGACAAUCAUACAAAAAAGGAAUAA